AGAGUUUGAUCAUGGCUCAGGACGAACGCUGGCGGCGUGCUUAACACAUGCAAGUCGAACGAUGAAGCCUUCGGGUGGAUUAGUGGCGAACGGGUGAGUAACACGUGGGCAACCUGCCCUCCACUCUGGGAUAACUCCGGGAAACCGGGGCUAAUACUGGAUAUGACCUGGGGUCGCAUGACUCUUGGUGGAAAGUUUUUCGGUGGAGGAUGGGCCCGCGGCCUAUCAGCUUGUUGGUGGGGUGAUGGCCUACCAAGGCGGUGACGGGUAGCCGGCCUGAGAGGGCGACCGGCCACACUGGGACUGAGACACGGCCCAGACUCCUGCGGGAGGCAGCAGUGGGGAAUAUUGCACAAUGGGCGGAAGCCUGAUGCAGCGACGCCGCGUGGAGGAUGACGGCCUUCGGGUUGUAAACUCCUUUCAGCAGGGACCAAGCUUUCGGGUGAGUGUACCUGCAGAAGAAGCACCGGCUAACUACGUGCCAGCAGCCGCGGUAAUACGUAGGGUGCGAGCGUUGUCCGGAUUUAUUGGGCGUAAAGGGCUCGUAGGCGGCCUGUCGCGUCGGAAGUGAAAGCCCACUGCUUAACGGUGGGUCUGCUUCCGGUACGGGCAGGCUAGAGUAUGGCAGGGGAGACUGGAAUUCCUGGUGUAGCGGUGGAAUGCGCAGAUAUCAGGAGGAACACCGGUGGCGAAGGCGGGUCUCUGGGCCAUUACUGACGCUGAGGAGCGAAAGCGUGGGGAGCGAACAGGAUUAGAUACCCUAGUAGUCC
RNAcentral lists this ribosomal RNA (770 nucleotides) under uncultured bacterium. Its description in RNAcentral is "bacterial SSU rRNA". It matches the Rfam family "Bacterial small subunit ribosomal RNA", at positions 8 to 796 of the family's 1533-position model. The record is from RNAcentral.